UACGGAGGGUGCAAGCGUUGUUCGGAAUUACUGGGCGUAAAGGGCUCGUAGGCGGCCAGCUAAGUCAGACGUGAAAUCCCUCGGCUUAACCGGGGAACUGCGUCUGAUACUGGAUGGCUAGAGAUUGGGAGAGGGAUGCGGAAUUCCAGGUGUAGCGGUGAAAUGCGUAGAUAUCUGGAGGAACACCGGUGGCGAAGGCGGCAUCCUGGACCAACACUGACGCUGAGGAGCGAAAGCCAGGGGAGCAAACGGG
RNAcentral lists this ribosomal RNA (253 nucleotides) under uncultured bacterium. RNAcentral describes it as "partial 16S ribosomal RNA". It matches the Rfam family "Bacterial small subunit ribosomal RNA", at positions 524 to 776 of the family's 1533-position model. The record is from RNAcentral.